CCGGCUGGACGCCGCGCUUUUGGUUUGGCUCUGCGCGCUUCGUGUUGGUAGUCGUUGCCGCGUCCGCAGUCGCAGCUGCUUGCGCCCCCGCUCCGGUCAGUGGUGUAACCGGACCAGCACCAUGUCGCUCUCUCGGUCGGAGGAGAUGCAUAGGCUCACGGAAAAUGUCUACAAGACCAUCAUGGAGCAGUUCAACCCCAGCCUGCGGAACUUCAUCGCCAUGGGCAAGAACUACGAGAAGGCGCUGGCAGGUGUGACGUAUGCUGCCAAAGGCUAUUUCGAUGCCCUGGUGAAGAUGGGCGAGCUGGCUAGCGAGAGCCAGGGCUCCAAAGAACUCGGGGACGUUCUCUUCCAGAUGGCCGAAGUCCACAGGCAGAUUCAAAAUCAAUUGGAGGAAAUGCUGAAGUCUUUUCACAACGAGCUGCUAACGCAGCUGGAGCAGAAGGUGGAGCUGGACUCCAGGUACCUGAGCGCUGCGCUGAAGAAAUACCAGACGGAGCAAAGGAGCAAAGGUGAUGCACUGGACAAGUGCCAGGCCGAGCUGAAGAAACUCCGCAAGAAGAGCCAAGGGAGCAAAAACCCCCAGAAGUACUCGGACAAGGAGCUGCAGUACAUCGACGCCAUCGGCAACAAGCAGGGGGAGCUGGAGAGCUACGUGUCCGACGGCUACAAGACUGCUCUCACUGAGGAGAGGAGGAGGUUCUGCUUCCUGGUGGAGAAGCAGUGUGCCGUGGCCAAGAACUCCGCCGCCUACCACUCCAAGGGCAAGGAGCUGCUGGCACAGAAGCUGCCGCUGUGGCAGCAGGCCUGUGCCGACCCCAACAAGAUCCCAGACCGCGCCGUGCAGCUGAUGCAGCAGAUGGCCAGCAGCAAUGGGUCUAUACUCCCCAGCGGCCUGUCGGCCUCCAAGUCCAACCUGGUCAUCUCAGACCCCAUUCCGGGGGCCAAGCCCCUGCCGGUGCCCCCUGAGCUGGCCCCGUUUGUGGGGCGGUUGUCUGCCCAGGAGAACACGCCGGUCAUGAAUGGCGUCUCAGGCCCCGACAACGAGGACUACAACCCCUGGGCUGACCGCAAGGCCGCCCAGCCCAAGUCCACAUCUCCUCCGCAGUCUCAGAGCAAGCUGAGCGACUCCUACUCCAACACGCUUCCUGUGCGCAAGAGCGUGGCCCCCAAGAACAGCUACGCCACCACCGAGAACAAGACCCUGCCCCGCUCGAGCUCCAUGGCAGCUGGUCUGGAGCGCAAUGGCCGCAUGCGGGUGAAGGCCAUUUUCUCCCACGCGGCUGGGGACAACAGCACCCUACUGAGCUUCAAGGAGGGCGACUUCAUCACCCUGCUGGUGCCUGAGGCCCGUGACGGUUGGCACUAUGGCGAGAGCGAGAAGACCAAGAUGCGGGGCUGGUUUCCCUUCUCCUAUACCCGGGUCCUGGACGGCGACGGCGGUGACAGAUUGCACAUGAGCCUGCAGCAGGGGAAGAGCAGCAGCACGGGCAACCUCCUGGACAAGGAAGACCUGGCGCUCCCGCCCCCCGACUACGGCACAUCGUCCCGGGCCUUCCCCGCCCAGACGGCCGGCCCUUUCAAGCAGAGGCCCUACAGCGUGGCCAUGCCUGCCUUCUCCCAGGGUUUGGAUGAUUACGGGGCACGGGCCGUGAGCAGUGCCGAUGUGGAAGUGGCCAGAUUUUGAGCGGCCCCUGACUAGAGUUAGUAAGUUGCCCUGGUUUUCUUAUGCUGGGGUCCGAGGGUCUGCUGAGCCUGCGUCUGCUCUCGGCUCUGGGUCUUUGCCUCCCUGGACCUCUCCUUGGGCUCUCGGAUUUCCUCCCUCUGGAAGCUUGCGGGUCUGUCCUGGCCCUCUGUCUGGGUUUCCUGUUGCUUCUGCUGGGUGCUUUGGCCAUAAUCGGGGUGAAGCCUGGUGAUCAGCUGCGAGGCUGGCUUUGGGCUCCUUCGGCUGAGUGCCCCUCAGACCGGUCCCUGAGCGUGGGUCUGAGCCCGGCCUGGCUGGCUCCUGGGUUGGUGAGUAUCGCAGCCCCUCGAGGGCUGGGGAGACCAGGAUGGGUGUGGGGAUAGCGCCAUGGCCUGUGCCCAGGUGAGAGCCACAGGCACGCGGGACCAGCAGCAUGCAUCUGCCCUGCAGAGGAUGAGCAGAUGCAGUGGCCCCGUUCUGCGCAGGCUCAGCUGCUGUCUGCCCCGACGUGGCUCCAGGGGGCUACUCCAGGCUUCCAGAGCAGGCCCCAGGGGCCUCCUCCAGCUCCCAACUGGUGAUGGUCCCUUCCCCUGUGCCCUUGGAAAGCAAGCGCCAACAGCUGGGGUGGGGCGUGCAGGGGGAGCCCACUGCUCUGGGCUCCUGUGCCUGGGUCUGGGCAGCACUGCUGCCCCUCUGCCCCACCCCAGCCCUGUCACUGAGAAGUCUGCUGCGCGAAGCUGGCACGUGGGCCCUUUACAAAGAUGGUCAUCACUUCACCUCCCUGGGUGUCAUGGAGAUGCCAUCCUCCCUCCCUGUGGGCAGCAGGUCCUGGACUCUCCCUCUCCCUCCUUCACUGCCUUUCUUGGUUUUUUUUUUGGUGUGUGUGUUUGUUUGUUUAGGCCACACUGCGUGGCUUGUGGGAUCUUAGUUCCCUGACCAGGGAUCAAACCCGGGCCCCCAGCAGUGGAAGCGCAGAGCCCUAACCACUGGACUGUCAGGGUUUUUUAUCUAUAUAUAUGUUUGUUUGUUUUUUCCUGCCUUUCUCUUGAUGAGUUGCAGUGUGAGUUCUGGAAAACUCUAGAGACAAGUGCUCCUGAAAUUGGGGGAUGGGAGAAAUGACUUUGACCCUGGCUCAGCAGUGGGUGACCUGGGCCACUCUCCUCCCCUGCAUCUAUCCCUCUUCUUCCGAGAUGCUUUGAGACACCUGCAUCUCCCGCCCCCACCUCUGCUGCCCUCGUGGUCCCUCUGAGCUGGUGGAGCCCAGCUGAUCUCACCCACUGGAGAGCUCACAGCCCUGGGAGGAGGGCCGGGGAGGAGAACGACUCAAGUCCAGAAGGGCCAACGUUCUGAAGUUGUGCCACGUUUUAAGAGGAAAACGUGGAGGAAGUUGAAAUCUAUGCUGUGACUGCUCUUCGCUCCUUCUCUGCCCCGGAGUCACCACAGGACACAAGCCACGCUUCGUGCUGACCAGGCUGUUCUCAGAACCACCCCCUUUCUUAUUCAAGAAGUGGAUUCAGAAGAUAACCGAAGGUGAUUCCACCAAAUCCUCAGUGACGAAUGUUUCAUGAGCCUGGACCCGAAUGCUGCUUGGCUGCAGGGGUCCCACCUCGUCAGGCUGUGGGGGUCUGCAGAGGACUGGGUGGUGGGGACAGCCAUUCCUGGCGGGGGGCCUGGCUCAUGCCUCCCUUCACCAUGCCCGGGACUUCAGGCCUGCCCCCCGGAGGAUACAAAUCCAUUCCGUAUAAAAGCUACCGGCUGUCCCUGUGUCCCUGCUCAGGAGGGGGACAGAGCCCAGCCACCAGUCGGGCACCUGAGUGCCUGGUGGCCCUGCCUGGGGAGGGGCCCUGGCAUCCUGACAGCACUGGCUCUCGCAUACUCCAGCGUCUCCCAUUUGGGUCAAGAAGAGCUUGUUCUGUGUCUGGGUGGUCGUCUGUUGAUUGGCCCCGGCGUCCACCCCUGGGCAGUGACGGACGUCUGCAGGACAGCAGGAUCAGCAGUGCCUCAGGUCCAAAUCUUGUCAUGUUUUGUCAUCCCAGUGUUGACCCAAGUCCCUCACCUGGGGUCACUCAGGUGCCCUCCCCGGGGGUAGCUCUUAAGCCUGUUCUUUCACAGAACAUCCCAGAAGGUGGUGAGCACCCAAGGGGGCCUCACACUUCCUCUGAUGCUGAAGGGUGGGAGUGUCCCACCCAGGGGUCUCUGGCCGGGGCUGCAGGAGGGAGUCGCUCCAGAGGUCUGGAGUGGUUACAGCUGCCACCUCCUUCCUCAGAACCUGCAGUGUGGACAGCACAUGCUUCUUCCAUGGUCACACUGUUUUGGGGGACGGUGUGGGUCAGAGGCCAGACACCCUCUUCAGGGAGGUCUUCCUGGUUCAGGUGGUAGUGUGGGUUUGCCACUGACCCUUUUUUUUUAAUUGAAGUAUAGUUGAUUUACAAUGUUGUGUUAAUUUCUGCCAUAUAGCAAAGUGAUUCAGUUAUACCCAUAUAUAUUCUUUUUUAUAUUCUUUUCCAUUAUGGUUUAUCACAGGAUACACUGAAUGUAAUUUCCUGUGCUAUACGGUAGGACCUUGUUUACCCAUUCUAUAUAUAAUAGUUUUCAUUUGCUAAUCCCAAACUCCCAAUUCACCCCUCCCCACCCCUCUUCCUCCUUGGCAACCACAAGUCUGUUUUCUAUGUCUGUGAGUCUGUUUUGUAGAUAAGUUCAUUUGUAUAAUUUUUUUAGAUUUUAUAUAUGUGAUAUCAUGUGCUAUUAGUCAUUCUUCACUUAGUAUGAGAAUCUCUAGGUCUAUUCAUGUUGCUGCAAAUGGCAUUAUUUCAUUCUUUUUUAUGGCUAAUAUUCCAUUGUGUAUAUACCACAUCUUUAUUCAUUUAUCUGUCAGUGGACAUUUAGGUUGUUUCCAUGUCUUGGCUAGUGUGAAUAGUGCUGCUGUGAACAUAGGGGUGCAUGGAUCUUUUUGAAUUAGUUUCAUCUGGAUCACAUGGCAACUCUAGUUUUGGGGGGAACCUCCAGACUCUUUUCCAUAGUGCCUGCACCAAUCUCCCACCAACAGUGUAGGGAGGUUCCCUUUUCUCCACACCCUCUCCAGCAUUUGUAAUUUGUAGACUUCUUAAUGAUGGCCAUUCUGACCAGUGUGAGGUGGUACCUCAUUGUAGUCUUGAUUUGCAUUUCUCUAAUAAUUAGCAAUGUUGAGCAUCUUUUCAUAUGCAUGUUGGCCAUCUGUAUGUCUUCUUUGGACAAAUGUCUAGUUAGGUCUUCUGCCCAUUUUUCGAUUGGGUUGUUUGGUUUUUUGUUGUUGAGAGGUAUGAGCUGUUUGUAUAUUUUGGAAAUUAAGUCCUUGUCAGUUGCUUCAUUUGCAAAUAUUUUCUCCCAAUCUGUAGGCCGUCUUUUUGUUUGUUUACGGUUUCCUUUGCUGUGCAAAAGCUUGUAAGUUUGAUUAGGUCCCAUUUGUUUAUUUUUGCUUUUGUUUUUAUUGCCUUGGGAGACUGACCUAAGAAAACACUGGUACGAUUUACGUCAGAGAAUGUUUUGCCUAUGUUUUCUUCUAGGAGUUUUAUGGUGUCAUGUCUUAUAUUUAAGUCUAUAAGCCAUUUUGAGUUUAUUUUUGUAUAUGGUUUGAGGGUGUGUUGUAACUUCGUUGAUUUACACGUGGCUGGUCACUGACCCUUUCUGAUGAGAAUGUAGGUGCGUCAGGACACACCCGGCUGGAACUCCCUUUUGCCCCUGGCUCUGGUCAGCACAGGUGCCAUCCUCCCUUCUCUGGGUCCCUUCCCCUGCUGGGUCCCCGACUCUGGAUGGACAAACCUGCCCCGUUUCCAGCCCCACAAGACCCCCCGCCAUGACCCUGGCUGCAGACCGCCAAGGGCAUGGAGCCCUCCUCUAGGACAAGAGUCCAGUCAAGGCGGCCGCCCCCGUGGCUGCCCUGCAUCCUCCGUCCCAGGGCAGAUGACGCUGGUCACAGCAGAACCUCGGUUUCAGAACCUCCAGGCUGCCCCUGCCUGGGGCCAGUGGGGCUGAAGCACAUCUGCUCAGACCCAAGCCUGGGAGGCCAGAGAGGACCUGAAUGAGGGAGACUGAGGCCCCGCCGGCUGGAAGGGCCUUUCAUCAGGUGCAGAUGUUCCGAGGCAGGGGUGGAACGGCUGCGGGUGCUGCCAACUGUCAGGCAGCAUCUUGGAGAUGCAGAUCAGUCUCCUCUCACUAGUUCAUCCUUUGGACUCAGUUGUUCAAAGUGCCUCAGUGUUUUAGAAAAUGCCAGGUCCUCAGGCAAACACAGGGUUGCCCACCCCACGUUCUAUCUUCCUGGGCACCUGGACAGAGCGCCCACCCAGCUCCUGUGGACGCCCAGCCAUGUCAGAGGCCACUCCCGCCCCAGGUAACGGCUCCCGUUCAGGCCGAGCCCUCCGUGUCCCACGUGCCAUCCGUGCUGUCACCCUUGGGACUGCCUGACGUCCCCUGGCCUGCUCUCCUGUGCCAUCUCCACCUGGGCAGGUCCUCGGAGCCCGCCGAGGAGGAGAGGCCUCCGUGAGCACGAGGCCAGGUGCCAGCCCCACCCUGCACUCAUCUCGUUCCAUCUCAGCCCCUUGUCUGGUGCGUCUGUCUGUCUGUCAGCCGCAGCCUCGGCACGCAGGGGCAGGCACGGCUCCUCUCUGAGGAGGCGGCCAGCCCCUCCGCAGGGGCUGCGGGCGUCCACUCCUACCAGCCCCGUUGUCGCUGGGGUGCCUGCGCCUCGUGUCUGUCAUGUCGGCAUGGGACGGGCCACUCUCUGGGCCCCCAGGAUGCAUGGGCUGGGCUUGUGCGCUCUGCUGAGCUGUGGCUCUAUGUGUCAACAGCUGUGUCCUUGCAGAUGGGCUCAGCUGCUGCUCCCGGGCAGGUGGCGGGGGCGCUUGGCCUUGGGGGGCGGCGCACCGAGCUCGGGUGCGGCUCAUGUGGGGCUGCCUCAGGUUGCAGAGAAAGGACCAGGGCUGAUGUGGAGGGGCCCCCCCAUGCCCACCCACCCUGCCUGUGGGAGGGUUGACGGUUUGAGGUGGGGCACCUGGGGGGGGUGAGCAGAGGGUGGCGCGCUGGGGCUCAGCUGGCCUUGCGGACAGCGCCCCUUUCUGGCUCUCCCCCGUGGCCUCUGCCACCCCCAGGCCCUGAGCUCAGAGGCUGGGCCAUCGGGGUCCAGGUGGGUGCCGUCUGUAGCCACAGGGCGGCACUCAGCACCCCUCCCGAAAACCACUCUUCUCUCCUCUUCUCAGGAAUCCCUUCGCCAGCGUCCAGCUGAAGCCGACGGUGACCAAUGACAGGUCUGCCCCACUCCUCAGCUGACGGCCACAUCUGCACCCACUGCCUGUGGGGGCUCCUCCUCCCACACCCUGACCUGUAACCUGUUUUGUUACAAUCUGCUUGCUCCCCAUUUAGAGAAUUGUCUCCUUCCAAGCCCUUCUGCCCCCACCUCAAUCUGGCCUGGGCUGGACCCCGGCUGUUCCUACAGGGUCAGGAGGUGGCAUGGCCGUGGCCAAGGAGAGUGAGGGGAGCAGGGACCUGCUGCCUGGGCUGGGCGGCCAACCUUUUGAAUCAGGCCCAUCUGUCGUGUGGGCCAGGGAGCCCCCAAGGUGCAGGGAGGGCCAUCGCAUCAGCUUGUAGCUGUAAGGGGAGCCCCUGUCUGGUCAGUAAUGAGGCCGCCCACCUGUAGUAGUGCCUGCGGCAGCAAUGCAGGGGCAAGGGGAGGGAGGGGAGGGGAAGGGGAGAGCGAGGGCCGGCCUCCCUUCCUUGGAUUUAGUAUGAGCACAACUUCCUGCCAGACCCCUGAUUGGGGCUUUGCUGGGUCUCCCCCCUGCCACUGGCAGUUUUGUGGGCCUCUCUGUCCCAGUUUCUCCCUGCCCACACCCUAACUCCCAUCCAGAACUGGCUGCAGGGCCCCCAGCUCUCCUCCCUGUCCCCAGGGUGGUCGGUGCUGUGGCCUGGCUCCCCAGGCUGUGUGCCAUUGAGGGGGGCCUACCCCAGGAUUCCUGGGUAGGCCCCCUCAAUGCUCUGGCUGUUUCCAUAUUUCAGCUGAAAUAUAAGAUUUUAGAAGCUAUCGGAUCCAUGCUGUUUGACAUUUAAGGCUGAAAUACAGCCGUGCUAAUAACCACGUUGGUGACAGCAGUCCUUACCUCAGGAGACGUUCAGUUCCGGGCAGCGUUCGCUUGCUCCUCCCAGACCCUCCCAGGAGGGGCUCUGCGCACAGCCCAGAACACGAAGCACAGGGGGUGGGGCCCCAGAGGCUCUCACCUUGCAGAAGCUGGAGGCAGGCCAGGUGAGGUGAGGCAGGGUCACAGGGCAGAUGUUUGCGGUGGAGGGGCACAGAAGCCCCACCUCCUCACAACCCACCUUGCUCCCAGCUCACCGCCCCCUCACCCGGCCUCCCCGUGCUGAGGGACAGGGGCCACCCCUGGAGAGGCAGGAGGAAGAGCUUCCCGGAGAGGUUCCCUCUCACCCUUACCUAGGUAGGGCCAGCUUCCAGGCAGGAAGUGAGGGCUGCAGGCGUCAGUCCGCUGGCCCUGUUCUGGGAAGACACCCCAACCUGGGCACCCUAGGGGCCCAAGGUCACUGUGUCCCUCCACCAAGGUGUGCCAAGGACAGCUAGAGGAAGGGGUGGUCUCCCUCCUGCAUCCCCCAGUGGUCAGAAGGGACUGUAGGGACCCCACCCCAGCACAGCCCAUGCCCCCUCCUGCCCAAGGCUUUAUCUGCAGACUCCAAAAGAAAACACGCUUAGCAUGAAGGCUUUUUUCCUUAGUUUUGAUU
Molecule: RNA transcript, 8443 nt
Organism: Orcinus orca (killer whale)
Lineage: Eukaryota; Metazoa; Chordata; Mammalia; Artiodactyla; Delphinidae
Gene: BAIAP2
Gene name: BAR/IMD domain containing adaptor protein 2
Exons: 15
Source: RefSeq, a predicted model, not a curated record